ACGAACGCUGGCGGCGUGCUUAACACCUGCCAGUCGAACGGUGAAGGGGUCUGCUUUUGUGGGCCCUGGAUGAGUGGCGACCGGGUGAGUAACACGUGAGUAACCUGCCCCCUUCUUCUGGAUAACCGCAUGAAAGUGUGGCUAAUACGGGAUAUUCUGGGUCUGUCGCAUGAUGGGUCUGGGAAAGAUUGCGCCUUUGGGUGUUUUUGGUGGGGGAUGGGCUCGCGGCCUAUCAGCUUGUUGGUGGGGUGAUGGCCUACCAAGGCGGUGACGGGUAGCCGGCCUGAGAGGGUGGACGGUCACACUGGGACUGAGACACGGCCCAGACUCCUACGGGAGGCAGCAGUGGGGAAUAUUGCACAAUGGGCGCAAGCCUGAUGCAGCGACGCCGCGUGAGGGAUGGAGGCCUUCGGGUUGUAAACCUCUUUCGCCAGUGAAGCAGGCCUGCUCCUUGUGGGUGGGUUGACGGUAGCUGGAGAAGAAGCGCCGGCUAACUACGUG
This 501-nucleotide ribosomal RNA is filed under the name uncultured bacterium. RNAcentral's name for it is "partial 16S ribosomal RNA". It matches the Rfam family "Bacterial small subunit ribosomal RNA", at positions 29 to 507 of the family's 1533-position model. The record is from RNAcentral.